CGUCUCACUUCAACUUCUCAAUAUAUACAUCCUUAACACAUUAAAAAAACAUGAAACAUAAAAAAACAAAACUAAGUUAUCCCAAACCGAAACACCUUCUUCAUCAUCUUGCUUCAACAUCGCCGUCGAGCUUCGACAUAGCCUUCUUCUUCAUCUUGCUUCAACACCGCCGUCGAGCUUCGACAUAGCUUCUUCUUCAUCUUGCUUCAACACCGCCGUCGACACUUCGUCGAGCUUCGACAUAGCCUUCUUCUUCAUCUUGCUUCAACACCGCAGUGCGUCUGGAAGGAAGAGCGAAGUUCAACAAUGGCAGACUCGAGUUCCAAUGCCACCAACGCAGGCUCUCAUUUCCUACCAACGGUUACAUUAUUCGACUGGUGGCUCGUUAAAUCCCCAGAUAACCGUUUAUGCAUCUCCGGCAACGCUUCCAGAAAGGGAGAAGCCGUUCGCGUGUUUAAUUCUUCUCCUAUUGUCGAAAGAUACGAUGUGUAUUCCCUUAAGAAUGCCGAGGGUAUAUACAUUUUCAUUAGGGGUAUCAUCAAUGAGGAACGCACCCGCGAAAAAGUGCUACCUUCUUUUCUACUUUAUGCUCAGAUUUUCAAUAGUUUUUACAUUGGCUUUCCUCCAAACUGGGAAACUUGUUGGGUUUUACAUUGUAUCAGAGAAGAACAAGUAGAACCUGGUACUGAUUCAGUCAAUGCUGCUAUGGAUAAUGUAUCUCCAAUUUGUCAAGACAUUUUGUCUGACGAUGAGGAAGAAUCAAUUUCUGUUUUGUCGAAAUUGCCUGAAGAAGCCCCAAAAAAUAACCAGACACCAUUCCCUGGAGAUGAAUGCCAAGUCUCAAAGGAGACGAGUGGGGUAAAUGUUGCUUGUGGUGGUGGUGUAAUUAGACGUAGUACCAGGUUGCAUAGUAUUAACGUCUGUCAGCAGAAGAAGAUAGAGAAGCAGCAGCCUACGUAUAGAGGUCCUCUCAAGCAUCCACAUGAAGAGCCAAGCUCUACCUCCAAGGUAGUGGAGAAUCGUGAUUCGGAUACUGUGCAUCUUGAUAAUGUAUCAGCAAAUUUUCCAGAAAUAUCAUCUCGUGCAGUGGAAAAUUCUUUUCCUACUUCUUUGGUAACACCAGAAAAGGCCAUGGGACAUUGCAAUAAGUUAUUCCCUGAAGGUGAAGAAGAUAUGUCAAUUAAGACGAACGAGGCCAAUGUUGUUCAUGGUAGUGGCGGGCAUAGACGUAGUGCCCGACUGCAUAAUGUUAAAUCCUUCCAGAAGAAGCAACCUGCUACUGGAGGUCCAGCAACACGUCGAGGUAAAGACCAGAUCUCUGCCUCAGCAACCAUAGAAAAGAGUGAUGGAGGGCUGGAAAAUCUAUCGACACCCGUUCAGUCACAAAGUGGAAUAGUAAACACGCCGUCUGGGAAGGUCACUAAUAAAUUCAGAUCCAAAACUUCUUCAGCAAAAACUGAUGCUUCAGCAAAAACUGAAGUGGAUCAUAAGAAAAAGAAGGUGACAGUUGAAACAGAAGCGGUGAAUCCCAAGAGAAAAGAUUUGAAACCCCCAUCUUCUGUAAAAUCUCCACAGGGAAGGGAUGUAAGUCACUUGAACAAGGGAAGUAAACAGGGACUGUCCAUGGUUUCUCCAGAGUCAUUGAGUCUUAAAAAAUCCAGAUCUGGUAGGUUACUUCUACCUUCCAUGGAGUUUUGGCGCAAUGAAAUACCCAUUUAUAAUGCGGACCGUGGGAUUAAAGAAAUUCAGCAAGACUCGACUUUGACAUCACCUUUUAGAUGCUUUUCGCCAUUACCUUUUAGAGGCUUUUCGCCAUCACCGGGCAGGUUUUGAACUUCUGAUUCUGGAGUUCUGGAUAUUGUUUGGAAAAUCACAGCAGUCACAUUUUGAAGAGUAAAAAUAACACCCAAACAUGGAUUUCCUUCGAAGAAGAGGGGGCUGUAGAUUUGAGAUCAAUCAGAGAGGAGGUCAAUAAACCUCCCAGCUCCAGCGCAAUGGUGUUUCAAAGAUCUGCACACUUCCAUAUCAACCUUGACACUUCCAUAUCAACCUUGCGUUAUCACAACCUUUAAAAACAUGCCACUCAUUCUCUUAAGUCGCAAUAUACUCACCCGGUUUCCCAGAAGCCAUAUAACAUAACAAUAGUUUAAUUUUAUGUAAGUUGCAGUCCAGUGGGGACCUUGAAUUUGAAUCUUCCAUGUCAUUCGUAGGUGCUUAUAAUGCUUUUAUUUCCUCUUUGUUCCUUUGAUUGAAAAUUGUAUUUAUAAUGGUACAUGUAGUAUACCAUUUGAUUUAGGGGACGAGAUCAGAAUGUGCACAAUUCCUCUAGCAUUUAACAAAUGAAAAUUUAAUAAGUUUU
Molecule: RNA transcript, 2359 nt
Organism: Vicia villosa (hairy vetch)
Lineage: Eukaryota; Viridiplantae; Streptophyta; Magnoliopsida; Fabales; Fabaceae
Gene name: kinetochore-associated protein KNL-2 homolog
Exons: 10
Source: RefSeq, a predicted model, not a curated record